UAAGGAAUAUUGGUCAAUGGACGCAAGUCUGAACCAGCCAUGCCGCGUGAAGGAUGAAGGUCCUCUGGAUUGUAAACUUCUUUUAUCUGGGACGAAAACGGGAUUUUUAUCUCAAUUGACGGUACCAGAGGAAUAAGCACCGGCUAACUCCGUGCCAGCAGCCGCGGUAAUACGGAGGGUGCGAGCGUUAUCCGGAUUUACUGGGUUUAAAGGGCGCGCAGGCGGGAUAAAAAGUCAGUGGUGAAAUCCUACAGCUUAACUGUAGAACUGCCUUUGAUACUUGUAUUCUUGAGUUCGGGAGAGAGAGACGGAAUUCCCGGUGUAGUGGUGAAAUACGUAGAUAUCUGGAAGAACACCAGUUGCGAAGGCGGUCUCUUGGUCCGACACUGACGCUGAGGCGCGAAAGCGUGGGGAGCAAACA
Molecule: ribosomal RNA, 421 nt
Filed under: uncultured bacterium
Lineage: Bacteria
Description: bacterial SSU rRNA
Rfam family: Bacterial small subunit ribosomal RNA
Source: RNAcentral